This 147-nucleotide small nuclear RNA is filed under the name Gopherus agassizii (Agassiz's desert tortoise). RNAcentral's name for it is "U4 spliceosomal RNA (ENSGAGG00000016060.1)". It matches the Rfam family "U4 spliceosomal RNA". From Rfam's summary of the family: U4 small nuclear RNA (U4 snRNA) is a component of the major U2-dependent spliceosome. The structure of U4 snRNA from yeast and human has been reported. U4 snRNA presents a k-turn RNA motif in the 5p-SL related to recognition of Snu13 protein. The record is from RNAcentral. Lineage: Eukaryota; Metazoa; Chordata; Testudines; Testudinidae.
AGCAGCAGUGGCAGUAUCGUAGCUAAUGAGGUUAAUCCGAGGCGUGAUCAUUGCUAGUUGAAAACUUUUCCCAAUACCUGGCACGUAAAUACCUUGCCACACUGGCUACAAAAGUGCCAUGCAAACGCCUGUUCUCACUUUUAGGUG